RNAcentral lists this ribosomal RNA (516 nucleotides) under Acinetobacter sp. EB85. RNAcentral describes it as "bacterial SSU rRNA". It matches the Rfam family "Bacterial small subunit ribosomal RNA", at positions 93 to 604 of the family's 1533-position model. The record is from RNAcentral. Lineage: Bacteria; Pseudomonadati; Pseudomonadota; Gammaproteobacteria; Moraxellales; Moraxellaceae.
UAGCGGCGGACGGGUGAGUAAUGCUUAGGAAUCUGCCUAUUAGUGGGGGACAACGUUCCGAAAGGAACGCUAAUACCGCAUACGCCCUACGGGGGAAAGCAGGGGAUCUUCGGACCUUGCGCUAAUAGAUGAGCCUAAGUCGGAUUAGCUAGUUGGUGGGGUAAAGGCCUACCAAGGCGACGAUCUGUAGCGGGUCUGAGAGGAUGAUCCGCCACACUGGGACUGAGACACGGCCCAGACUCCUACGGGAGGCAGCAGUGGGGAAUAUUGGACAAUGGGCGCAAGCCUGAUCCAGCCAUGCCGCGUGUGUGAAGAAGGCCUUUUGGUUGUAAAGCACUUUAAGCGAGGAGGAGGCUCCUUUAGUUAAUACCUAAAGUGAGUGGACGUUACUCGCAGAAUAAGCACCGGCUAACUCUGUGCCAGCAGCCGCGGUAAUACAGAGGGUGCGAGCGUUAAUCGGAUUUACUGGGCGUAAAGCGUGCGUAGGCGGCUUUUUAAGUCGGAUGUGAAAUCCCU